RNAcentral lists this long non-coding RNA (709 nucleotides) under Anas platyrhynchos (mallard). RNAcentral describes it as "lncRNA (ENSAPLG00020000394.1)". The record is from RNAcentral. Lineage: Eukaryota; Metazoa; Chordata; Aves; Anseriformes; Anatidae.
AAGGCUAUUAAUAGGUCUUUGCUUUUCUUUUGGCCUUUCAUGGUCUCCUCAGUACUUGUUUCCAAACCCUUAAAAGUGCAGGGCAUGUAAACUGAAAUUUUGCAGAGAAUUUUUGGUGACUUCUAUUUUUGAGGGCAUGGGAUAUUAUUUUAAAACAUAAUAUAAUUGGUGGUGCUCUCCUUGUUGCAGUUACUGAAAACAAAUCAUCCUGGUCCCUUCACCAGUUCAACCAUCAGUCUUGGCGAAAAUUGACCACCUAAUGCAAUCAUUGGGCAGGAGGCCACUAUGGGUAGUUUAAGAUCUGGAGAUUCACAUGAUGAGAAGGUGAAAGAGGCUGAGACAAAAUUGGAGUUGAUGACCAUAUAGUGCUGCAGAAGGAGGUGGAUCUGUGCAACACUGGAAAAGGCCACACGGGGGACAAUGCCACAAGAAGCCCGUGCUCAAAUCACAGAAUCACAGAAUCAGAAUCGCAGAAUCACAGAAAUCACAAAAUCAGGGUAGGAAACGUCCUCCUCCUUCUCCUCCAACCACCACCACCACCUCCUCUACCACUGCCUUCUACACCACCAAAAACUAGAACGAUGACCUUGAAGGACUACUCAAAAAUAAUGAUUCUAUGUAUCCUCCUCAACCACACACAAUCAUGGAAUAUCGCCAGUUGGAAGGGACACAUAAGGAUCAUUAAGUCCAACUCAUGGUACCACAGGUC